UACGGGGGGGGCAAGCGUUGUUCGGAAUUACUGGGCGUAAAGGGCACGUAGGCGGAUCUUUAAGUCAGGGGUGAAAUCCUGGAGCUCAACUCCAGAACUGCCUUUGAUGCUGGGGAUCUCGAGUCCGGGAGAGGUGAGUGGAACUCCGAGUGUAGAGGUGAAAUUCGUAGAUAUUCGGAAGAACACCAGUGGCGAAGGCGGCUCACUGGCCCGGUACUGACGCUGAGGUGCGAAAGCGUGGGGAGCAAACAGG
Molecule: ribosomal RNA, 253 nt
Filed under: uncultured bacterium
Lineage: Bacteria
Description: partial 16S ribosomal RNA
Rfam family: Bacterial small subunit ribosomal RNA
Source: RNAcentral